Trichobilharzia regenti is the source of this 82-nucleotide non-coding RNA. The record is from Rfam. Lineage: Eukaryota; Metazoa; Platyhelminthes; Trematoda; Strigeidida; Schistosomatidae.
AGCCCUCUGUAUCCGUGCUGAGAUUUCGUCAGAGAUCAACCCAUCGGCGUCGGCUGAUGGUACUUCCCAAAUAAGUGAAGCG